GGGCCCGCACAAGCGGAGGAACAUGUGGUUUAAUUCGAUGAUACGCGAGGAACCUUACCCGGGCUUGAAAUGUACUUGAAUAAUUUGGAAACAGAUUAGCCAGCAAUGGCAGGUAUGUAGGUGCUGCAUGGUUGUCGUCCAGCUCGUGCCGUGAGGUGUCGGCUUAAGUGCCAUAACGAGCGCAACCCUUACCGUUAGUUACCAUCAUUUGGUUGGGGACUCUAGCGGGACUGCCACCGUAAGGUGUGAGGAAGGUGGGGAUGACGUCAAAUCAGCACGGCCCUUACGUCCGGGGCGACACACGUGUUACAAUGGGGGGUACAAUGGGUUGCUACCUGGUGACAGGAUGCUAAUCUCUAUAAAUCCUCUCUCAGUUCGGAUCGGAGUCUGCAACUCGACUCCGUGAAGCUGGAUUCGCUAGUAAUCGCGCAUCAGCCAUGGCG
Molecule: ribosomal RNA, 443 nt
Filed under: uncultured Bacteroidota bacterium
Lineage: Bacteria; Pseudomonadati; Bacteroidota
Description: bacterial SSU rRNA
Rfam family: Bacterial small subunit ribosomal RNA
Source: RNAcentral